This 751-nucleotide unclassified non-coding RNA is filed under the name Penaeus chinensis. RNAcentral's name for it is "uncharacterized LOC125035327, transcript variant X2". The record is from RNAcentral. Lineage: Eukaryota; Metazoa; Arthropoda; Malacostraca; Decapoda; Penaeidae.
AACGUACCUGUGUACAAGAGCAAAGAGAUGCGUCCUGCGGCUUCGAAUUGUUGCUCCAUGCCCCUUAUUCCCUUGAUCUGGCAACCUCUGACUUUCUCCCACACAUGAAGCAACUGUGGGAAAUCGCUGAUGACUAGGAAACUAAGGUGAAGGUCAAGGAAGUCUUGAAGGGAUUCAACCCACCAUUCUUCAGGGACGGAUUUUCGCAACUGAAGAUGAAUUGCAUUACGGUCAAAGGCGAUUAAUCUGAUAUUUAUAAAAAAUUCCCUUGCAGCUUUGGGCCCAUACUCAAGAAUAUCCCCGGGACCCAACAGUCGAUUCCGAAGAGAAUCUCCAAUAUGGCGGCUGCACGUGAACAAACACUGAUCGUUAUUCACUGUUGUCGAGUAAACGGUAGAGGCACAUGAAAUCAGUAUUAGCGACUCUUUUGCGGCUCUUUACGGGAAACCGAUUAACGACCGUGAAAGCCGAACUUGGUCAAGCACAAUUUGUGGGGGGCUCUGAAUUUUUUUUUCAUGAGUACGGCCCUUCGGCAAACUGCAUGGUAUAGAAAAAUGCAGAGGAUAUGGAAAUUCAUAUGGUGUGACUCGUUUGCAAUUUGUGAUUAAUAUUGGUCAAAAAAAUUAAAUCUUGUUAUAUGAUGAAGGCAAAUGCCGUUGUGAAUUUGGUAUUUUGCCCAUUGUCUAGAUUCCAUUCCAGAAAAUAGGCAAUGGCAAUUGGAGUUAUAAAAUCAAUAAAUCAUUAUAAAACA